UCGAUUCCCUUAGUAGCGGCGAGCGAAACGGGAAGAGCCCAAACCAACAAGCUUGCUUGUUGGGGUUGUAGGACACUCUAUACGGAGUUACAAAGGACGACAUUAGACGAAUCAUCUGGAAAGAUGAAUCAAAGAAGGUAAUAAUCCUGUAGUCGAAAAUGUUGUCUCUCUUGAGUGGAUCCUGAGUACGACGGAGCACGUGAAAUUCCGUCGGAAUCUGGGAGGACCAUCUCCUAAGGCUAAAUACUCUCUAGUGACCGAUAGUGAACCAGUACCGUGAGGGAAAGGUGAAAAGCACCCCGGAAGGGGAGUGAAAUAGAACCUGAAACCGUGUGCUUACAAGUAGUCAGAGCCCGUUAAUGGGUGAUGGCGUGCCUUUUGUAGAAUGAACCGGCGAGUUACGAUUUGAUGCAAGGUUAAGCAGUAAAUGUGGAGCCGUAGCGAAAGCGAGUCUGAAUAGGGCGUUUAGUAUUUGGUCGUAGACCCGAAACCAGGUGAUCUACCCUUGGUCAGGUUGAAGUUCAGGUAACACUGAAUGGAGGACCGAACCGACUUACGUUGAAAAGUGAGCGGAUGAACUGAGGGUAGCGGAGAAAUUCCAAUCGAACCUGGAGAUAGCUGGUUCUCUCCGAAAUAGCUUUAGGGCUAGCCUCAAGUGAUGAUUAUUGGAGGUAGAGCACUGUUUGGACGAGGGGCCCCUCUCGGGUUACCGAAUUCAGACAAACUCCGAAUGCCAAUUAAUUUAACUUGGGAGUCAGAACAUGGGUGAUAAGGUCCGUGUUCGAAAGGGAAACAGCCCAGACCACCAGCUAAGGUCCCAAAAUAUAUGUUAAGUGGAAAAGGAUGUGGCGUUGCCCAGACAACUAGGAUGUUGGCUUAGAAGCAGCCAUCAUUUAAAGAGUGCGUAAUAGCUCACUAGUCGAGUGACACUGCGCCGAAAAUGUACCGGGGCUAAACAUAUUACCGAAGCUGUGGAUUGUCCUUUGGACAAUGGUAGGAGAGCGUUCUAAGGGCGUUGAAGCAUGAUCGUAAGGACAUGUGGAGCGCUUAGAAGUGAGAAUGCCGGUGUGAGUAGCGAAAGACGGGUGAGAAUCCCGUCCACCGAUUGACUAAGGUUUCCAGAGGAAGGCUCGUCCGCUCUGGGUUAGUCGGGUCCUAAGCUGAGGCCGACAGGCGUAGGCGAUGGAUAACAGGUUGAUAUUCCUGUACCACCUAUAAUCGUUUUAAUCGAUGGGGGGACGCAGUAGGAUAGGCGAAGCGUGCG
RNAcentral lists this ribosomal RNA (1264 nucleotides) under Staphylococcus aureus. RNAcentral describes it as "partial 23S ribosomal RNA". It matches the Rfam family "Bacterial large subunit ribosomal RNA", at positions 231 to 1497 of the family's 2925-position model. Lineage: Bacteria; Bacillati; Bacillota; Bacilli; Caryophanales; Staphylococcaceae. The record is from RNAcentral.